RNAcentral lists this long non-coding RNA (1225 nucleotides) under Oryctolagus cuniculus (rabbit). Its description in RNAcentral is "lncRNA (ENSOCUG00000034909.1)". Lineage: Eukaryota; Metazoa; Chordata; Mammalia; Lagomorpha; Leporidae. The record is from RNAcentral.
NNACGCAUGCACGCACAGAUGCACGGCGCGACACGCGUAUGCACGCGUGCACAUGCAUACACACGUAUGCGCGCCCAUGCAUACGCACACGCGCACAGACCUCAGGAAAGGCAUCCGGAUGCAGUCACGUGCGGUGCAAAGACUGCCGAGAAAAUACUGGAGAACCACAGCGGCCCAUCCCCCGCCCUCCAAACACCCUAGAGCGGAAAGAUGCUGUUUGCAUAAUACUCCCGCGGCCGAGCGCGGAAAAAAAAUGGCUCCAGUUAGGCGCGCACCAGAGAAUGCGUAUGCACACACACACACACACACACACGGAUGCGCACAUGUGCACACGCAUGCACAGGCAAGCACACGUGCACACGCGUGCGCAAGCGCACGCACGCUCCUGCCGACGAGACCCAACCGUGGUCCGCGUCCUCCCGCCGCGGGCAGGGGCGCGACGCCGCGCACGGCUCCCGGGUCACCGGCCCGGAGAACGGCCGCUGGAGGACUGGGGGAACCCGCCCCGCGCGGCCGGGGAAGCCCCGUCGGAGAAGCCAAGCUCUCGGAGCGCGCACAGCCUGGCCACGAGAGAGGCGCGUCCCGGCCGGAGCUCGCUCGCUGGGCUGCUCGUGGGAAAACACACCUGAGGAAGCACACCUGGCCCUUGGGCCGCCUGCCCUACUCUCUCUCCCGGGCUUUUUCCGACAGGAUCCAAGGAAAAUCCCUUUCCCUCCAAAGGAGGGUGGCCCCGUUCUUAUUUUGCGAGUCCUUGGGCUUUCUCGUUGGAUUCCCAGGGAAGGAGCAGCCAGGGAGGGGUUCCCUCGGCAGCCUCGCAGCCAGACAGCACCACAAAAGGGCAUUAUUACACAACCCAAAUAACAAGGGCUGUCUGUUUGCAAAUCUGUUCAAAUAUUUAACCUCUUAACUUGCUAAAUAUCCCCCCUCUCCCCUCUCUCCUCUCUCUCUCUCUCUCUCUCUCUGGCGCGCGCGCGCCUCCCUUUUUUCCUUUUCCUUUCUCUGCCUAAAGUACUGGCGGGAAGGCCCCUCUAUGGAGUCUCACAUGUGGCCAGGGGCUCUGCGUUUUACCUGGCUCUCGUGCAAUGCCAAUUUCGUUUCCGGGCAAUUGCUGUUUGGCAGCCAGAGAAUCGGGUAAGAAUCGCCCAGGUCACACACACACACACACCUUUUAUUUAUAUUUAUAUUUAUAUUUAUAUUUAUAUUUAUAUUUAUAUUUAUAUAUGUG